This 60-nucleotide non-coding RNA is filed under the name Duganella sp. Root198D2. Its description in RNAcentral is "Betaproteobacteria toxic small RNA". It matches the Rfam family "Betaproteobacteria toxic small RNA". From Rfam's summary of the family: Overexpression in amino aid rich medium attenuates growth, suggesting role in repressing amino acid intake and metabolism. Lineage: Bacteria; Pseudomonadati; Pseudomonadota; Betaproteobacteria; Burkholderiales; Oxalobacteraceae. The record is from Rfam by way of RNAcentral.
UGUCUCCUCCACUUCUUAACAGAAAUGGAUUCAGCCCGCUCCCUGAGCGGGUUUUUUUUU